CUUAUUUCCCCUUUUCCUAAUGUAAAACUUACUACCUUAGAUGUAUUCUUGAGCAUGUAGCUUGUUUUUUUUAAACAUAUUCUCAGGAUUUCUAAACCGUUCCAUAUAAGUUCAUAAAGAUGGUUCUUAUUCCUUUUUUACAGCAGUAUGUAGUUCCAUCUGUGAAUAUAUUCGACUUCAUUCAGUGUUUUCUUGAUAGCAUGCAGGAUGAUUGCGGUAUUUUGCUGUUAUAAAUAAGGCUACAAAGAGCAACCUGUGUAUAUGUUUUAUUUUUUUCUUAUUAUUGGAAUGUGUACUCAGUAAAUGACUCAGAGGAGGCAGCUGAUAUCACAUUAUGUUGAUAGCAAAUAAAACUAGCACUCUAUUUUCAUUUUAGGAGACUUGAACACAAUGGCAGGGUUGGAAAAAGAACUGAGUAAUGCCAAAGAGAAACUUGAACUCACGGCUAAAAAAGAAAGAGAAAGUCAGGACCUGCAAAUACAACUGAUAAUCCUGAAGACAUACCACCUGUGGAACGCCUGACCCAGGAAACAUUACUUCUUUGGGAAAAAAUUGCUUCAGUAGAAUCCCAGGGUCAAGAAAUUUCAGGAAACCAAAGACAACAAUUGCUGCUGAUGCUAGAAAAAGAUUAGUAGAUGAACAGAGUCAGCUCAGUGAGGACUUAGACGCAAAGAGACAGCUCUCUAGCAGUCUGGUGAAGUUCCAUGCUUAUCCAGAGAGCCUGCCAACUUUCAAACUAGAACUUCCACCAUCAUCCCUCCUGGUCCUCAGGCCUUCAGUCUCCAGCAGCAGCUAUACUAUCAGCUCUCCUGGGUCUCCAGCUUGCUGCCUGCAGAUCUUGGGGCUUCUCAGCCUCCAUCAUCACAUAAAUCAAUUUCUUCUAAUAAAACUUUUUCUGGCAUCUAUAAAUCUCCUGUUGGUUCUUUUUCUCUGGAGAAGCCUAAUACAGUGGGGACAUGGAUCAUCCCAGAGAGAACGUAGGAGUGAAGCAGGGAGCCCCAUCCUAGCAGCUGGAUCCUAGGGUCCUCCCAGAGUCUUUUCUGAAGAAGUUCCAAGUCCUACCUAAAAUCUCAAAUAAUGGCAACAGAGCCCGGUAAUGUGUUCUGGAUCCAUAGAGGAAGAGGUGUGGCUGGGUGACUUUCC
RNAcentral lists this long non-coding RNA (1143 nucleotides) under Callithrix jacchus (white-tufted-ear marmoset). RNAcentral describes it as "lncRNA (ENSCJAG00000086400.1)". Lineage: Eukaryota; Metazoa; Chordata; Mammalia; Primates; Cebidae. The record is from RNAcentral.